RNAcentral lists this ribosomal RNA (301 nucleotides) under uncultured bacterium. RNAcentral describes it as "partial 16S ribosomal RNA". It matches the Rfam family "Bacterial small subunit ribosomal RNA", at positions 509 to 807 of the family's 1533-position model. The record is from RNAcentral.
CAGCAGCCGCGGGAAUACAGAGGGUGCGAGCGUUAAUCGGAUUUACUGGGCGUAAAGCGUGCGUAGGCGGCUUUUUAAGUCGGAUGUGAAAUCCCUGAGCUUAACUUAGGAAUUGCAUUCGAUACUGGGAAGCUAGAGUAUGGGAGAGGAUGGUAGAAUUCCAGGUGUGGCGGUGAAAUGCGUAGAGAUCUGGAGGAAUACCGAUGGCGAAGGCAGCCAUCUGGCCUAAUACUGACGCUGAGGUACGAAAGCAUGGGGAGCAAACAGGAUUAGAUACCCCGGUAGUCCCUGUCUCUUAUAC